UCGUACAGGUUUCCGUAGGUGACC
This 24-nucleotide ribosomal RNA is filed under the name Bryoria sp. Wang 04-23182. RNAcentral describes it as "partial 18S ribosomal RNA". Lineage: Eukaryota; Fungi; Ascomycota; Lecanoromycetes; Lecanorales; Parmeliaceae. The record is from RNAcentral.